Cebus imitator (Panamanian white-faced capuchin) is the source of this 104-nucleotide small nuclear RNA. NCBI's taxonomy places the organism in Eukaryota, Metazoa, Chordata, Mammalia, Primates, Cebidae. The record is from RefSeq and is a predicted model, not a curated record.
GCGCUCGCUUUGGCAGCACAUAUGCUAAAAUUGGAACAAUACAAAGAUUAGCAUGGCCCCGGCGCAAGGAUGACACGUUAAUUUUUUAACAUUAAAAAAAAAAA